GUAACUCAAAGUUCCACUAAAAAUGCCCUCAAUCCGCAAGAUCUUGUCCCCAGUUUCAAGAAGUCCACGUAAGGUGCUAAUGAUUGGUAGACCAGCUCCAACAGUAGCUUCAUAGAAGUAAUGAGUGUAUGAUUGCCGCUGUAGAGCUCUCAGCUUCAAGUACUGGUCUAGUGGUCCUGAAUUAGCCUUUUUAUUCGGGGUGACAACAUGUAUUCCUCUAUGCAACCAGCCAAAGUAGUGGCUUGCGACAUCAGAGUCGGCAGUGCAAUCCACCAUUACAGUGUUUGGGAUAAAAUGAUUGCCACGUACAUGGUGAACAAACUUAUUCAUGUCGGCCAUUUCUCCUUUUACACUUAGCAGCUGUCUCCAUCUUGACAAGUCAAUACCCGACUCGCUCAGUAGCAUUGUCCUCGUUCCAGUUAUACCCAUCACACGUAAGUCAAUGUUAAAUUUCUCCUUUAAGACGGCUGUCUGAUCCUUUAAUUGGUCAAGCAAUGUGCCUCCAAUCAAUCCAGGUCCAACAAUGCCCACAGCAAUUAUUGUUCUUGACAAAUAAAAUUUUGAGUGCACAGCACGUAAGGCUCUUACACAAUCUUCUCGCUUAACAACUACUGUAAUGUUGUACUCUGUGCAACCUUGAGCUAUAGCACGGAUGUUGAUAUUAGCCUUUGCAAGUGCAGUGAAAAGUGUAGCACUAACUCCAGGAGUGCUAGCCAUUCUCUGACCAACAGCUGCCAAAAUGCUACAGUUCGGAAUUACUGCAAUCUGAGAAAGCCGUCCGGCACUCAAAGCCUGACCAAACCUAGACUCCAAAACAUCCGCAACGGCUUUCACCUCUUUCUCAGGCACAGCAAAGCACACUGAAUGCUCACUGCUAGCCUGGGAUAUCAUGAUUACAUUAGCACCAACGUCUUUUACUGCACUAAAAAUGGCGCUAGCAGUACCAGGAACACCAGCCAUUCCGGUU
Molecule: unclassified non-coding RNA, 967 nt
Filed under: Hevea brasiliensis (rubber tree)
Lineage: Eukaryota; Viridiplantae; Streptophyta; Magnoliopsida; Malpighiales; Euphorbiaceae
Source: RNAcentral